RNAcentral lists this ribosomal RNA (495 nucleotides) under uncultured bacterium. Its description in RNAcentral is "partial 16S ribosomal RNA". It matches the Rfam family "Bacterial small subunit ribosomal RNA", at positions 28 to 507 of the family's 1533-position model. The record is from RNAcentral.
GACGAACGCUGGCGGCGUGCCUAAUACAUGCAAGUAGAACGCUGAAGGAGGAGCUUGCUUCUCUGGAUGAGUUGCGAACGGGUGAGUAACGCGUAGGUAACCUGCCUGGUAGCGGGGGAUAACUAUUGGAAACGAUAGCUAAUACCGCAUAAGAGUAGAUGUCGCAUGACAUUUGCUUAAAAUGUGCAAUUGCAUCACUACCAGAUGGACCUGCGUUGUAUUAGCUAGUUGGUGAGGUAACGGCUCACCAAGGCAACGAUACAUAGCCGACCUGAGAGGGUGAUCGGCCACACUGGGACUGAGACACGGCCCAGACUCCUACGGGAGGCAGCAGUAGGGAAUCUUCGGCAAUGGACGGAAGUCUGACCGAGCAACGCCGCGUGAGUGAAGAAGGUUUUCGGAUCGUAAAGCUCUGUUGUAAGAGAAGAACGAGUGUGAGAGUGGAAAGUUCACACUGUGACGGUAUCUUACCAGAAAGGGACGGCUAACUACGUG